GGGGGCAUAGCUCAGUGGUAGUCUGGUAGAGCAUCCGACUGCAGAUCGGAUUGUCCCCGGUUCAAACCCGGGUGCCCCCU
Molecule: transfer RNA, 80 nt
Filed under: Daphnia galeata
Lineage: Eukaryota; Metazoa; Arthropoda; Branchiopoda; Diplostraca; Daphniidae
Rfam family: tRNA
About the family: Transfer RNA (tRNA) molecules are approximately 80 nucleotides in length. Their secondary structure includes four short double-helical elements and three loops (D, anti-codon, and T loops). Further hydrogen bonds mediate the characteristic L-shaped molecular structure. tRNAs have two regions of fundamental functional importance: the anti-codon, which is responsible for specific mRNA codon recognition, and the 3' end, to which the tRNAs corresponding amino acid is attached (by aminoacyl-tRNA synthetases). tRNAs cope with the degeneracy of the genetic code in two manners: having more than one tRNA (with a specific anti-codon) for a particular amino acid; and 'wobble' base-pairing, i.e. permitting non-standard base-pairing at the 3rd anti-codon position.
Source: Rfam by way of RNAcentral